GAUGAACGCUAGCGGCAGGCCUAACACAUGCAAGUCGGGGGGUAGCAGGAUUAAGCUUGCUUAAUUGCUGACGACCGGCGCGCGGGUGCGUAACGCGUAUGCAACCUACCUUAUACUGGGGUAUAGCCCGGAGAAAUUCGGAUUAAUCCCCCAUAGUACUAAUGAAUCGCAUGGUUUAUUAGUUAAAGCAUUGCGGUAUAAGAUGGGCAUGCGUCCUAUUAGCUAGAUGGUGAGGUAACGGCUCACCAUGGCUACGGUAGGUAGGGGGCCUGAGAGGGUGGUCCCCCACACUGGUACUGAGACACGGACCAGACUCCUACGGGAGGCAGCAGUGAGGAAUAUUGGUCAAUGGGCGCAAGCCUGAACCAGCCAUGCCGCGUGCAGGAAGAAUGCCCUAUGGGUUGUAAACUGCUUUUAUUUGGGAAUAAACCUCUUUACGUGUAGAGAGCUGAAGGUACUAAAUGAAUAAGCACCGGCUAACUCCGUGCCAGCCGCCGCAGUAA
Molecule: ribosomal RNA, 503 nt
Filed under: uncultured bacterium
Lineage: Bacteria
Description: partial 16S ribosomal RNA
Rfam family: Bacterial small subunit ribosomal RNA
Source: RNAcentral